UUCUUCAAGAUGCCUGAAGAAGUGCACCGUGGGGAGUAGGAGGUGGAGACUUUUGCCUUUCAGGCAGAAACUGCCCAGCUCAUGUCUCUCAUCAUCAAUACCUUCUAUUCCAACAAGGAAAUCUUCCUUCGAGAGUUGAUCUCUAAUGCUUCUGAUGCCUUGGACAAGAUUCAUUAUGACAGCCUGACAGAUCCUUCCAAGCUGGACAGUAGUAAAGAGUUAAAAAUUGACAUCAUCCCCAACCCUCAGGAAGGAACUCUGACCUUGGUGGACACAGGCAUUGGCAUGACCAAGGUUGAUCUCAUAAAUAAUUUGGGAACCGCUGCAAAGUCUGGUACUAAAGCAUUUGUGGAGGCUCUUCAGGCUGGGGCAGAUAUCUGCAUAAUUGGGCGGUUUGGUAUUGGCUUUUAUCCUGAUUACCUGGUGGCAGAGAAAGUGGUCGUGAUCACAAAACACAAAGAUGCUGAACAGUAUGCCUGGGAAUCUUCUGCUGGAGGGUCCUUCACUGUGCCUGCUGAUUGUGGUGAGCCCAUCGGCAGGGGCACCAAAGUUAUCCUCCACCUUAAAGAAGACCAGACAGUGUACUCAGAGAAGUAGUGGGUCAAAAAAGUAGCGAAGAAGCACUUGCAGUUCAUAGGCUACCCCAUCACCCUUUACUUGGAGAAUGAACAAGAGAAGGAAAUCAGUGACAAUGAGGCAGAAGAAGAGAAAGGUGAGAAAGAAGAGGAAGAUAAAGAUGAGGAAGAGAAACCCAGGAUCCAGAUGAGGAGGAUGACGGCAGUGAGGAGGAGGAGGAGGAGGAGGAGGACACUGAUCCGGAGGAAUUAAACAAAACCAAGCCCAUUUGGACCAGAACCCCUGAUGACAUUACCCAGGAGGAGCAUGGAGAAUUCUACAAGAGCCUCACCAAUGGCUGGGAAGACCACUUGGCAGCCCAGCACUUUCCUGUAGAAGGUCAGUUGGACUUCAGGGCUUUGGUCUUCAUCCCUCAUUGGGCUCCCUCUGACCUCUUUGAGAACAAAAAGAAAAAGAACAACAUUAAACUAUGUGUCUGUUGUUUGUUCAUCAUGGACAGCUGUGAUGAGUUGAUACCUGAGUAUCUCAACUUUAUCCGUGGUUGACUCUGAGGAUCUGCGCCUGAACAUCUCCCGAGAAAUGUUUCAGCAGAGCAAAAUCUCAAGAAGUGAUUCGUGAAAACAUUGUUAAGAAGUGCCUUUUUAGGGUCUAAUACCUUGAGCUCUUUUCUAAGUUGGCAGAAGAAAAUGAGAACUAUAAGAAAUUCUAUGAGGCAUUCUCGAAAAAUUUAAAGCUUGGAAUACAUGAGAACUCCACUAACCAGCGACGCCUGUCUGAGCGGCUGUGCUAUCACACUACCCAAUCUGGAGAUGAGAUGACUUCUCUCUUAGAGUAUGUCCCUCGCAUGAAGGAAACACAGCAGUCCAUCUAUUACAUCACUGGUGAGAGCAAAGAGCAGGUGGCCAACUCUGCGUUUGUGGAGCGAGUGUGGAAGCGGGGCUUUGAGGUGGUAUACAUGACUGAGCCCAUUGAAGAGUACUGCGUGCAGCAGCUUAAGGAGUUUGAUGGGAAGAGCCUGGUCUCAGUUACCAUGGAGGGCCUGGAGCUACCCCAGGAGGAGGAAGAGAAGAAGAAAAUGGAAGAGAGCAAGGCAAAGUUUAAGAACCUCUGCAAGCUCAUGAAAGAAAUCUUGGGUAAGAAGGUUGAGAAGGUAACAAUGUCCAGUAGGCUGUGUCUUCAGCCUGAUGCAUCAUGACUGGGACCUUCGGUCGGACAGCCAACGGGGAGCAGAUCGUGGAAGCCCGGGCACUUCGGGACAACUCUACAAUGGGCUAUAUGAUGGGCAAAAACACCUGGAGAUAAACCCUGACCACGCCAUCGUGGAGACACUGCGGCAGAAGGCUGAGGUGGACAAAGGCUGUCAAGAACCUGGUGGUACCACUGUUGGAAACUGCAUGGCUCUCCUUUGGUUUCUCCUUUGAGGAAUCCCCAGGCAAACUCCAACUGCAUCUACCACAUUGUCAAGCUAGGCCUAGGCACUGAUGAAGGUGAAGUGACAGCAGAGGAACCCAGUCCUGCUGCUCCUGAUGAGGUCCCACACCUUGAGAGUUAUGAGGAUGCAUCUUGCAUGGAAGAAGUAGAUUAG
This is an RNA transcript of Nycticebus coucang (slow loris), 2161 nucleotides long. It is a transcript of the gene named heat shock protein HSP 90-beta-like, with no coding region annotated. Lineage: Eukaryota; Metazoa; Chordata; Mammalia; Primates; Lorisidae. The record is from RefSeq and is a predicted model, not a curated record. The transcript is spliced from 3 exons.